Molecule: non-coding RNA, 127 nt
Organism: Myotis brandtii (Brandt's bat)
Lineage: Eukaryota; Metazoa; Chordata; Mammalia; Chiroptera; Vespertilionidae
Source: Rfam
CAUGCAUUGGUGGGGUCCCUCAGCCUGGCCUGUGCCCUUUCGCAAUCCGGAACCCCUCCAGGGAUGUUGGACUGCCAGUUUCGGCCCAAUCCCCACGGGCCAGGCUGAGGGACUCCACCGGUGCACA